UCCUCGAUUCCAACCGCCGGAGCCAUGAAUCGACGCAGGAAAGAACAAUACGAUGCUCCCUAUGGACUACACUGCCUAUUCGUGACCACCGCCAUGUCUUUCCGACCUUGUCUGCCCUGGUGGCAUCGCUGCUGGUUGGGAUUCAACUCUGGCAUCGCUUGUUCUGUCAAUUUCCUUGUGGACGAAGAAGAGCUAAGCGGCAGCAAGCACACUCUAGCUGGUUUGAUGUCAACUGGCGAUGAUAACGAAAUCAAGGAGGUAAAUAUUCAGUUAGCAAGUAAUGAUGGCGAAAGAAAGGAUGUAAAUAUUCAGUUAGCAAGUAAUGCUCCAAUAUAUUGAAAGCGGAAGAAGAAACUGAAGGCAAGACAAAAGAGGAAGAAGAAAUUACCACCGACAGUGGCGUCAGCAACCUCUUCAACAGGGCGUUUGCCUAAACUUAUCUCCCACCUCCGGGACUGGACAUCGACCACCAAAGAAGAGGAAGAGACCGUUCUGACGAAAACGUGCGAAGCCGAAGGGAAAAU
This is a long non-coding RNA of Lolium rigidum, 524 nucleotides long. RefSeq lists it as uncharacterized. The transcript is spliced from 3 exons. NCBI's taxonomy places the organism in Eukaryota, Viridiplantae, Streptophyta, Magnoliopsida, Poales, Poaceae. The record is from RefSeq and is a predicted model, not a curated record.